Molecule: ribosomal RNA, 509 nt
Filed under: uncultured bacterium
Lineage: Bacteria
Description: bacterial SSU rRNA
Rfam family: Bacterial small subunit ribosomal RNA
Source: RNAcentral
CUGGCGGCGUGCCUAAUACAUGCAAGUCGAACGGCUUUUCUAUGGAAGCUUGCUUCCACUGAGAAGAUAGUGGCGAACGGGUGAGUAACACGUGGGUAACCUGCCCAUAAGAGGGGGAUAACAUCCGGAAACGGGUGCUAAUACCGCAUAGUUUUCUUGAUCGCAUGAUCGGGAAAGGAAAGACGGCCUUUGUGCUGUCGCUUAUGGAUGGACCCGCGGCGUAUUAGUUAGUUGGUGAGGUAAUGGCUCACCAAGACGAUGAUACGUAGCCGACCUGAGAGGGUGAUCGGCCACAUUGGGACUGAGACACGGCCCAAACUCCUACGGGAGGCAGCAGUAGGGAAUCUUCCGCAAUGGACGAAAGUCUGACGGAGCAACGCCGCGUGAGUGAAGAAAGGUUUUCGGAUCGUAAAACUCUGUUGUCAGAGAAGAACAAGUUGGAGAGUAACUGCUCCAGCCUUGACGGUAUCUGACCAGAAAGCCGCGGCUAACUACGUGCCAGCCGCAGC